Molecule: ribosomal RNA, 492 nt
Filed under: uncultured bacterium
Lineage: Bacteria
Description: partial 16S ribosomal RNA
Rfam family: Bacterial small subunit ribosomal RNA
Source: RNAcentral
AGUGAACGCUGGCGGUAGGCCUAACACAUGCAAGUCGAACGGCAGCACAGUAAGAGCUUGCUCUUACGGGUGGCGAGUGGCGGACGGGUGAGGAAUACAUCGGAAUCUACUUUUUCGUGGGGGAUAACGUAGGGAAACUUACGCUCAUACCGCAUACGACCUACGGGUGAAAGCAGGAGAUCUUCGGACCUUGCGCGAUUGAAUGAGCCGAUGUCGGAUUAGCUAGUUGGCGGGGUAAAGGCCCACCAAGGCGACGAUCCGUAGCUGUUCUGAGAGGAUGAUCAGCCACACUGGAACUGAGACACGGUCCAGACUCCUACGGGAGGCAGCAGUGGGGAAUAUUGGACAAUGGGCGCAAGCCUGAUCCAGCCAUACCGCGUGGGUGAAGAAGGCCUUCGGGUUGGAAAGCCCUUUUGUUGGGAAAGAAAAGCAGCAGGUUAAUACCCCGCUGUUCUGACGGUACCCAAAGAAUAAGCACCGGCCAACUUCGUG